AGUGAACGCUGGCGGCGUGCUUAACACAUGCAAGUCGAACGAGAACGGAUUAUAGCUUGCUAUAAUUGUCAGCUAAGUGGCGCACGGGUGAGUAAUGUGUAGGUAAUAUGCCUCUUACUAAGGGAUAACAAAUGGAAACGUUUGCUAAUACCUUAUACUCCUUAUUAACAUAAGUUAAUAAGGGAAAGAUUUAUUGGUAAGAGAUUAGCCUGUAUUGUAUCAGUUAGUUGGUGGGGUAAUGGCUUACCAAGACUAUGACACAUAACUGGUUUGAGAGGAUGAUCAGUCACACUGGAACUGAGACACGGUCCAGACUCCUACGGGAGGCAGCAGUGGGGAAUAUUGCACAAUGGACGAAAGUCUGAUGCAGCAACGCCGCGUGGAGGAUGACACAUUUCGGUGCGUAAACUCCUUUUAUAUGAGAAGAUAAUGACGGUAUUAUAUGAAUAAGCACCGGCUAACUCCGUGCCAGCCACCGCCGUAA
RNAcentral lists this ribosomal RNA (484 nucleotides) under uncultured bacterium. RNAcentral describes it as "partial 16S ribosomal RNA". It matches the Rfam family "Bacterial small subunit ribosomal RNA", at positions 29 to 523 of the family's 1533-position model. The record is from RNAcentral.